This 1790-nucleotide long non-coding RNA is filed under the name Cricetulus griseus (Chinese hamster). RNAcentral's name for it is "lncRNA (ENSCGRG00015040146.1)". Lineage: Eukaryota; Metazoa; Chordata; Mammalia; Rodentia; Cricetidae. The record is from RNAcentral.
ACAGCUGUCACGUGGCUUGAAAUACACUCUUGAUCAGCUGCCUCCCCUGCCCUAACUGCUCCCCGCCAUGGCACCACUGGUAUUUCCUGGGCCCGCCACAUCUCAGAGUCUGCUUCCGGGGACCCGGGACUGAACCUUUACCUAUGGCAGAGUUUAAGAAGAUGGAUCAGGGCCAGACAUCUACAAAACCUGGAGCAAUGCUGUCCACACAGACCGCACUUCCCACUGGGCUUUCAACUGUGCAAACCUGGACCAGGAAACAUUUGCAAACCAUGGCAUGGUCUCCUUGGAUGUCUAGGAAGUCACUUUCCCGGUUCCCGAAGAAACCUUGGAAGAUUGGUGCCCUUUCUGUUAGGGAAUUCUGGAGUCUACGUGAGACUGGGGUGUGGAGUAUUUCCACCGUGAGCCACCUCAAUCUGAUAGAGUUGCAGCUGUGUCCUCAUCCGCCUGGAAAAAGACCACAGCUCAUGGAGUCUGAUUUUCCUUCCAAUCCUGUCUUACCAAAGGCCUGGGGAGUCCUUUCUGGUGGUCCCCUCCAUUGUUUCUACCUCAGCAUGACUUUUUAAAAUGGAGAUCUGAGAUCUCGAUGUUUCUGCAAUCCCACACUGUAGGCUACUGAAGCUCAAGAGUCUUUAAGAGUCUUACUCUGCAAUCUUAUUUCUUCGGCAAGUCAAGGCAGCCAAACAAGAGGUCAGAGAUGAAUGAGGGAGCAGAGUUGGAAUGUAUGGUCCCUGGCUAGCAUCUCUAGCAACAGCCCGUCAGACUAUUGAGGAGGCUAUUGCGCUAAUGUAGACGCAAAGCGUCAACUGGCAGUCUUUCCUGUGGAAUCAACACAGGGUUGAGGAUGGGAAGUGAAGUUGGGGGCCCAGGUGGAGCAUGUCCAUUCUCCUCUAAUGGGGUUUCCAUGGCGUCUGCUUCCCCUUGUCCUGCCCAUCACGAAUCCUAACUCACCAGUUCCUGCCAAGAAGAUCUUCAAAUCUAUCCUUCCUCCCCUUGUGAACACCAGCAUCCCCACCCCCCACCCCCCACCCCUGCCUAAGUCAUUGUCUACUAAGUCAUGAAAGCUGCCUUUCUGAACCAAAAAUCUGACCCUGCCAGCCCACAUUUUCCCCCAGCACUACAAUGGCCACACUGCACUGUGUAGUCUGGUUCCUAGGCACAGGUAUGUCAUGUUCUACCCUGUCACCUUUAUGGGGAUGUCUGGCCUAGGGCUGGAGCUCUGGCUCAUUGGGAAACAUCACGGUGAAGUGUUCCACGGCAUGGACUCAUUGCUAAGUACACUGGCUUUGAUCAGACAAGUAAUUUUUAAGUUUUGCAGUGAUCCAAGCCAAACUCCAGGCCGUGUACAUGUCAAAUAGGCACAGUACCACUGGUUUACAUGCCCAGCCUCGAGCAGAGAAGUUUAAGUUCAGGUCUUCAUCUAUAACACGCCCAUAGAAGGCUUAAAGGAGAAUCUAAAACUUUUUAUUUGUGUGUCAUGGAGUGGGGUUUGCCUGUGUGUGUGUGUGUGUGUGUGUGUGUGUGUGUGUGUGUGUGUGUGUAUGUGUGUGUGUGUACACCACAUGCCUGUAGAAAGAGGACUGAAAUUAGAGAUGGUUGUGAGCCACCUUGUGGGUGCUUAGGGUCCCUUCCUGGUCUUCUGCAAGAGUAGCCACUGUUCUUGACCACUGAGCCAUCUCUCCAGCCCCCUACGUGAGAAUGUUUCAUAUAGGUGCCUAGCACACAGUCAGAGCUCUGUAGAUUUUUUUUUAAAUAAAAUUAUCCCCUGGAUGUCCAAUGUUCACCUACCU